Molecule: ribosomal RNA, 362 nt
Filed under: Scleromitrula spiraeicola
Lineage: Eukaryota; Fungi; Ascomycota; Leotiomycetes; Helotiales; Sclerotiniaceae
Description: eukaryotic LSU rRNA
Rfam family: Eukaryotic large subunit ribosomal RNA
Source: RNAcentral
AAACUCUUUCGACGAGUCGAGUUGUUUGGGAAUGCAGCUCAAAAUGGGUGGUAUAUUUCAUCUAAAGCUAAAUAUUGGCCAGAGACCGAUAGCGCACAAGUAGAGUGAUCGAAAGAUGAAAAGCACUUUGGAAAGAGAGUUAAACAGUACGUGAAAUUGUUGAAAGGGAAGCGCUUGCAAUCAGACUUGCGCCUGGUUAAUCAUCUGGGCUUCUGUCCGGUGCACUUGAUCAGCUCAGGCCAGCAUCGGUUUGAGUGGUUGGAUAAAGGCUUAGGGAAUGUAGCUCUCUUCGGGGAGUGUUAUAGCCCUAGGUGCAAUGCAGCCUACUUGGACCGAGGACCGCGCUUCGGCUAGGAUGCUGG